GAUGAACGCUGGCGGCGUGCCUAAUACAUGCAAGUCGAGCGAACGGACGAGAAGCUUGCUUCUCUGAUGUUAGCGGCGGACGGGUGAGUAACACGUGGAUAACCUACCUAUAAGACUGGGAUAACUUCGGGAAACCGGAGCUAAUACCGGAUAAUAUUUUGAACCGCAUGGUUCAAAAGUGAAAGACGGUCUUGCUGUCACUUAUAGAUGGAUCCGCGCUGCAUUAGCUAGUUGGUAAGGUAACGGCUUACCAAGGCAACGAUGCAUAGUCGACCUGAGAGGGUGAUCGGCCACACUGGAACUGAGACACGGUCCGGACUCCUACGGGAGGCAGCAGUAGGGAAUCUUCCGCAAUGGGCGAAAGCCUGACGGAGCAACGCCGCGUGAGUGAUGAAGGUCUUCGGAUCGUAAAACUCUGUUAUUAGGGAAGAACAUAUGUGUAAGUAACUGUGCACAUCUUGACGGUACCUAAUCAGAAAGCCACGGCUAACUACGUG
This 497-nucleotide ribosomal RNA is filed under the name uncultured bacterium. RNAcentral's name for it is "partial 16S ribosomal RNA". It matches the Rfam family "Bacterial small subunit ribosomal RNA", at positions 28 to 507 of the family's 1533-position model. The record is from RNAcentral.